Molecule: ribosomal RNA, 303 nt
Filed under: uncultured bacterium
Lineage: Bacteria
Description: bacterial SSU rRNA
Rfam family: Bacterial small subunit ribosomal RNA
Source: RNAcentral
AGUUUGAUCAUGGCUCAGGAUGAACGCUGGCGGCGUGCCUAACACAUGCAAGUCGAGCGAAGCACUUUGCUUAGAUUCUUCGGAUGAAGAGGAUUGUGACUGAGCGGCGGACGGGUGAGUAACGCGUGGGUAACCUGCCUCAUACAGGGGGAUAACAGUUAGAAAUGACUGCUAAUACCGCAUAAGACCACAGCACCGCAUGGUGCGGGGGUAAAAACUCCGGUGGUAUGAGAUGGACCCGCGUCUGAUUAGCUAGUUGGUAAGGUAACGGCUUACCAAGGCGACGAUCAGUAGCCGACCUGA